RNAcentral lists this ribosomal RNA (1476 nucleotides) under Staphylococcus aureus. RNAcentral describes it as "partial 16S ribosomal RNA". The record is from RNAcentral. Lineage: Bacteria; Bacillati; Bacillota; Bacilli; Caryophanales; Staphylococcaceae.
GGGCCAGCUAGCUGUUCUACAUGCAGUCGAGCGAACAGGAUCGAGGAAGCUUGCUUCUCUGAUGUUAGCGGCGGACGGGUGAGUAACACGUGGAUAACCUACCUAUAAGACUGGGAUAACUUCGGGAAACCGGAGCUAAUACCGGAUAAUAUUUUGAACCGCAUGGUUCUAAAGUGAAAGACGGUCUUGCUGUCACUUAUAGAUGGAUCCGCGCUGCAUUAGCUAGUUGGUAAGGUAACGGCUUACCAAGGCAACGAUGCAUAGCCGACCUGAGAGGGUGAUCGGCCACACUGGAACUGAGACACGGUCCAGACUCCUACGGGAGGCAGCAGUAGGGAAUCUUCCGCAAUGGGCGAAAGCCUGACGGAGCAACGCCGCGUGAGUGAUGAAGGUCUUCGGAUCGUAAAACUCUGUUAUUAGGGAAGAACAUAUGUGUAAGUAACUGUGCACAUCUUGACGGUACCUAAUCAGAAAGCCACGGCUAACUACGUGCCAGCAGCCGCGGUAAUACGUAGKKGGCMAGCCGUUAUCCGGAAUUAUUGGGCGUAAAGCCGCCGCGUAGSCGGUUUUUUAAGUUCUGAUGGUGAAAAGCCCCACGGCUUCAMCCGUGGAGGGGUCCAUKGGAAACUGGAAAACUUGAGGUGCAGAAAGAGGGAAAGUGGAWUUCCAUGUGUAGCGGUUGAAAUGSGCARAGAWAUGGAGGAACACCCAGUGSSGARGGCGACUUYCUGKUCUGUAACUGACGCUGAUGUGSGAAAGCGUGGGGAUCAAMCAGGAUUAGAUACCCUGKUAGUCCACGCCGUAAACGWKGAGUSCUARGKGUWRGGGGGUUUCCSCCCCUWAGUGCUGCCAGCUAACGCAUWAAGCAYUCSSCCKGGGGAGUACGACSGCAAGGUKGAAACUCAAAGGAAUUGACGGGGACCCGCACAAGCGKUGGAGCAUGUGGUUUAAUUSGAAGCAACGSGAAGAACCUUACCAAAUCUUGACWUCCUUKGAMAAYUYUAGAGAUAGASCUUUCCCYUUCGGGGGACAAAGUGMCAGGUGGUGCAUGGUKGUSGUCAGYUSGUKUCGKGAGAUGUUGGGUUAAKUCCCGCAACGAGCGCAACCCUUAAGYUUAGUUGCCAUCAUUAAGUUGGSCAYUYUAAGUKGACUGCCGGKGMCAAACCGGAGGAAGGGGGGGAKGACGUCAAAUCUUCAUGCCCCUUAUGAUUUGGGYUMCMCACGKGYUCCAAUGGCCAAUCCAAAGGGCAGUGAAACCGGGAGGUCAAGCAAUUCCCAUAAAGUUGUUUUCAGUUCGGAUGGUAUUUUGCAAUUGGAUUCCAUGAAGCGGGAAUCGUUGGUAUUGGUAGAUCACCAUGUUCCGGUGAUUACGUUCCCGGUUUUGGUACCCACCGCCCGUCACACCACGAGAGUUUAACUACCGGAAGCCGGGGAGUAACAUUUAGGAGCUAGCCGUCGCGAUGAGUGUACGUUCGG